RNAcentral lists this ribosomal RNA (158 nucleotides) under Actinomortierella capitata. RNAcentral's name for it is "Mortierella capitata 5.8S ribosomal RNA". It matches the Rfam family "5.8S ribosomal RNA". Rfam says of the family: 5.8S ribosomal RNA (5.8S rRNA) is a component of the large subunit of the eukaryotic ribosome. It is transcribed by RNA polymerase I as part of the 45S precursor that also contains 18S and 28S rRNA. RNAcentral also lists the same sequence under 15 other names. The record is from RNAcentral. Lineage: Eukaryota; Fungi; Mortierellomycota; Mortierellomycetes; Mortierellales; Mortierellaceae.
UAACUUUCAACAACGGAUCUCUUGGCUCUCGCAUCGAUGAAGAACGCAGCGAAAUGCGAUACGUAAUGUGAAUUGCAGAAUUCAGUGAAUCAUCGAAUCUUUGAACGCAUAUUGCGCUCUUUGGUAUUCCGAAGAGCAUGCUUGUUUGAGUAUCAGUA